Molecule: ribosomal RNA, 482 nt
Filed under: uncultured bacterium
Lineage: Bacteria
Description: bacterial SSU rRNA
Rfam family: Bacterial small subunit ribosomal RNA
Source: RNAcentral
GAUGAACGCUGGCGGCGUGCUUAACACAUGCAAGUCGAACGAAGCACUUUACUUGAUUUCCUUCGGGGAUGAUUGUUCUGUGACUGAGUGGCGGACGGGUGAGUAACGCGUGGAUAACCUGCCUCACACAGGGGGAUAACAGUUGGAAACGACUGCUAAUACCGCAUAAGCGCACAGCACCGCAUGGUGCAGUGUGAAAAACUCCGGUGGUGUGAGAUGGAUCCGCGUCUGAUUAGCUUGUUGGCGGGGUAACGGCCCACCAAGGCGACGAUCAGUAGCCGGCCUGAGAGGGCGACCGGCCACAUUGGGACUGAGACACGGCCCAGACUCCUACGGGAGGCAGCAGUGGGGGAAUAUUGCACAAUGGGGGAAACCCUGAUGCAGCGACGCCGCGUGAGCGAUGAAGUAUUUCGGUAUGUAAAGCUCUAUCAGCAGGGAAGAUAAUGACGGUACCCGACUAAGAAGCUCCGGCUAAAUACGUG